This 78-nucleotide transfer RNA is filed under the name Hadesarchaea archaeon. RNAcentral's name for it is "tRNA-Glu". It matches the Rfam family "tRNA". From Rfam's summary of the family: Transfer RNA (tRNA) molecules are approximately 80 nucleotides in length. The record is from RNAcentral. RNAcentral also lists the same sequence under 1 other name. Lineage: Archaea; Methanobacteriati; Hadarchaeota (SeqCode); Hadarchaeia (SeqCode).
GCCCCGGUGGUGUAGCCCGGCCAAUCAUAGUGGCCUCUCGAGCCACAGACGCGGGUUCAAAUCCCGCCCGGGGCACCA